AGCAGCCGCGGUAAUUCCAACUCCAAUAGCGUAUAUUAAAGUUGUUGCAGUUAAAAAGCUCGUAGUUGAAUUUCGGGAUUAGUACGUUGGUCGUGCCUUAGGUACGUACUGGUGUUACUGGUUCCUACCUUCUGACGAACCAUCAUGUCAUUAAUUUGGUGUGGCGGGGAAUCAGGACUGUUACUUUGAAAAAAUUAGAGUGUUUAAAGCAGGCUCGCGCUUGAAUACAUUAGCAUGGAAUAAUGAAAUAGGACGUUGACCCUAUUUUGUUGGUUUCUAGGAUUGACGUAAUGAUUAAUAGGGAUAGUUGGGGGCAUUAGUAUUCAAUUGUCAGAGGUGAAAUUCUUGGAUUUAUUGAAGACUAACUACUGCGAAAGCAUUUGCCAAGGAUGUUUUCAUUAAUCAAGAACGAAAGUUAGGGGAUCGAAGACGAUCAGAUACCGUCGUAGU
This 450-nucleotide ribosomal RNA is filed under the name uncultured Glomeromycotina. Its description in RNAcentral is "SSU rRNA". It matches the Rfam family "Eukaryotic small subunit ribosomal RNA", at positions 569 to 1024 of the family's 1831-position model. Lineage: Eukaryota; Fungi; Glomeromycota. The record is from RNAcentral.